GAGUUCUACAGAACAUUAUGCUUCAUUCAAGAAAUUGGAAGGAUCCAAACAAUAGCAAAGAGACUCAAGAUGCAACCAAGGCUUUAGGCUUGUUGUCAUUCUGAGAUAUUCAUGAAGCUGCAAGCUGAGAAGCUGAUUUGGGGAGUUCCGGACAAAACAGAGUGAAACAUACUUCUUACCCACCUUAAGUUUAUUCAAAGUAACUGAAAUGCUGCCAGGAUUUGGCAGUAGGCUUGCUCAGGCGUACUUAUCGACUUGGCCCAGCUGUCUCCUGCAAGAUCCAGAAUGAAUUCACCACUUGAAGACCUGCAGAGAUAAGACUUGAGGCAACAGAUCAUUUAAUCCAUAUCAAUGUUUCUCUCCAACACCUUUUAUAGUAAUUUUAUAGACAUCUCUCCAACCUACCACACUCCUGCCCUAAUUCAUUGAUUCAGAUGGACACUGUUCACUCUAAACCACAUGGGUGUGUGGCCAUGCAGUAACUUAAAUGAACUGAAUUUUUAACUGUAUAAUGUAAAUAUAGUUUUGAAAAUAUGGUAAUCUAAUUUUGAAAUCUAUAUUAAUGUAUUUGUGAACAACACUGUAACUUACGUUGCCAAUGUUUCAAGUUACAACUCUGUAUCAAAUUGUAACAAUAAACACAGA
This is a long non-coding RNA of Mobula hypostoma (lesser devil ray), 645 nucleotides long. RefSeq lists it as uncharacterized. Lineage: Eukaryota; Metazoa; Chordata; Chondrichthyes; Myliobatiformes; Myliobatidae. The record is from RefSeq and is a predicted model, not a curated record. The transcript is spliced from 3 exons.